RNAcentral lists this ribosomal RNA (535 nucleotides) under uncultured bacterium. RNAcentral's name for it is "bacterial SSU rRNA". It matches the Rfam family "Bacterial small subunit ribosomal RNA", at positions 235 to 770 of the family's 1533-position model. The record is from RNAcentral.
GGCCUAUCAGCUAGUUGGCGGGGUAACGGCCCACCAAGGCAACGACGGGUAGCUGGUCUGAGAGGAUGGCCAGCCACAUUGGGACUGAGAGACGGCCCAGACUCCUACGGGAGGCAGCAGUGGGGAAUAUUGCGCAAUGGCCGCAAGGCUGACGCAGCGACGCCGCGUGUGGGAUGACGCCCUUCGGGGUGUAAACCACUGUUGCCCGGGACGAACGAGGGGAUUCAUCCCCUGUGACGGUACCGGGUGAGGAAGCACCGGCUAACUCCGUGCCAGCAGCCGCGGUAAUACGGAGGGUGCGAGCGUUGUCCGGAAUCACUGGGCGUAAAGGGCGCGUAGGCGGCUUGGUAAGGGGGCGGUGAAAGCCCGGGGCUCAACCCCGGGUCUGCCGGACCGACUGCCGAGCUUGAGCACACUAGGGGCAGGUGGAAUUCCGGGUGUAGCGGUGGAAUGCGUAGAGAUCCGGAAGAACACCGGUGGCGAAGGCGGCCUGCCGGGGUGUAGCUGACGCUGAGGCGCGACAGCGUGGGGAGCA